RNAcentral lists this long non-coding RNA (1095 nucleotides) under Homo sapiens (human). RNAcentral describes it as "long intergenic non-protein coding RNA 2028". Lineage: Eukaryota; Metazoa; Chordata; Mammalia; Primates; Hominidae. The record is from RNAcentral.
AGCCUCGCGGCGGGGGAAACCCGAGCUCCCAACAAAACGGUUCCAUCUUUGGCUAGGCCUUUGGUAUUUCAAGGCGCUGCCGGUGGGGAGAGAUGCCGCGUGCCUGAGAGGCUCUGGGAGGCACCAAAGAAGGCCCAGAGAGGUUUAACAACUUCCUCAGAAUCACACAGCUUCCAAAUGGUUGGGUUGGGUUUACAUUUAGGCGGUCUUGCUCCAGAGCCAGUGCUCCUAACCUUUGCAAGCCACGAACCUCAAGAAAGUGGAGAAGGAAACGCUGGGAAAUCUGGAAGUCAGACAUGGCAAAGAGCUAAUGCUGGCAGCUGUUGGGAUGUCCUCUUCCAGGAAUGGUGAUGAGUUUCCCUGGAUCCAGCCCUGGCUUGGCUGAGAUGAUGAAGGUUUAAGAAGCAGCAUCAUCAGCGAACUGUGUUUUGAAGAUUUGAGGGAAGGGCUGACCUCAGGAUUUUAUACUAGGUAUUUGAUGCAAUGCAGACUGGAAUCCUCCCCACAAGGAUGCCCUGGCCUGAGUGGCACAGAGAUCAAUGCAGCAGUCAUUUCCUGGGCGGGGAAAGCCCAUCCACAGUGGCCCUGGAAUGAUGCUGGUCUUACCUUCUAUUCCUAGGAAGGCCCUAUCUCAAGUGGCUCUGGUCCAUGCAAACAGAUGGAAACGGGUGUGGGGAAGCACAGGCCUCCUACUCAUGUUAAGAGAGCUGCUCAGAGGCAGGAAUCCAGAACCAGGAAUGUCCCCAGUGGCUGCCCAAGGUACAAGUGGCAGGCAGCGGGGAGAAUGGCAUGUGAAGUCAUUUGUAACCUGGCCCCAGCUUGGUUUCCAAGUCUCAGAGGAGAUUAUGGAUAUGGUAGUGCCUGGCUCAGUGCUUAAAAUCCAUUCUCCUGCUAUUUCCCUCACCUACACUCAGCCCCACAAGCCGAGAUGUUUGCUGGACAUUUCAGGCACUGCCACCCAGUUCUGUCUACCUUACCUGCUAACACCUGUUGACCAUCCUUCAUGUGAAGGCUUCCCCAAAUACUUCCCAAUCAAAACACUAAAAGGCAGACCUGAAAUUAAUAAAAAUGUUAAUUAAAUCUGUACAACAGAAA